ACCUCAAAUCAGGUAAGAAUACCCGCUGAACUUAAGCAUAUCAAUAAGCGGAGGAAAAGAAAAUAACAAUGAUUCCCUCAGUAACGGCGAGCGAAGAGGGAUAAGCUCAAAUUUUAAAUCUGUUGGGUUUCACCUAACAGAGUUGUAUUUUGAAGAAACGUUUUCUGCGUCCAGGAUUAGCCUAAAUCCUUUGGGAUAAGGUAUCAUGGAGGGUGAGAAUCCCGUUCAUGGUUAAUCUUAAGGAUGCUCUACGAUACGUUCUCCAAGAGUCGAGUUGUUUGGGAUUGCAGCUCAAAAUGGGAGGUAAAUUUCUCCUAAGGCUAAAUAUUGGCGAGAGACCGAUAGCGAACAAGUACCGUGAGGGAAAGAUGAAAAGAACUUUGAAAAGAGAGUUAAACAGUACGUGAAAUUGUUGAAAGGGAAACGAUUGAAGUCAGUCAUACCAACGGGAAAUCAACCUCUUGAGUUUGGUCUCGUGGGUUUCGAAGAGUUUAAAAGCCUUCGGAUUUUCGAGAUUGGGCUCUUCUGGUGUACUUUCUCGUACGGUUAGUCAACAUCGGUUUUGAAUGUCAUAAAAUGACUGGAGGAAUGUGGCUUCGAUCUCGUAUUGAAGUGUUAUAACCUUUGGUAGAUGUGAUGUUUGAGACCGAGGAUUGCAACGGAUACCCUUCUGGGCUAUUCGUCUGAUCUCUGAAACGUUGCCUUGAUGUCGAAAGCUUGCUUAUGAUGCUAGGGUAAUACGGUCAAAAGGUUAGAACGGAUUAAAUUCGUUAAGGAUGUUGACGUAAUGACUUUAAACGACCCGUCUUGAAACACGGACCA
RNAcentral lists this ribosomal RNA (822 nucleotides) under Funneliformis caledonium. RNAcentral's name for it is "eukaryotic LSU rRNA". It matches the Rfam family "Eukaryotic large subunit ribosomal RNA", at positions 1 to 668 of the family's 3401-position model. Lineage: Eukaryota; Fungi; Glomeromycota; Glomeromycetes; Glomerales; Glomeraceae. The record is from RNAcentral.